AACGUACGCUGGCGGCACGCCUAACACAUGCAAGUCGAACGAAGUAGCAAUACUUAGUGGCAGACGGGUGAGUAACAUGUAGGUAUCUGCCCUUUGGCCUGGAAUAACACGAGGAAACUUGUGCUAAUACCGGAUAAGUCUUUACGGAGAAAGCUUUAUGCACCAUUGGAUGAGCCUGCACUUGAUUAGUUUGUUGGUGGGGUAAUGGCCUACCAAGACUGUGAUCAAUAGCUGAUUUGAGAGGAUGAUCAGCCACAUUGGGACUGAGACACGGCCCAAACUCCUACGGGAGGCAGCAGUGGGGAAUCUUGCACAAUGGAGGAAACUCUGAUGCAGCGAUGCCGCGUGAGUGAAGAAGGCCCUUGGGUUGUAAAGCUCUUUCGUCGGGGAAGAAAAUGACUGUACCCGAAUAAGAAGGUCCGGCUAACUUCGUGCCAGCAGCCGCGGUAAUACGAAGGGACCUAGCGUAGUUCGGAAUUACUGGGCUUAAAGAGUUCGUAGGUGGUUGAAAAAGUUAGUGGUGAAAUCCCAGAGCUUAACUCUGGAACUGCCAUUAAAACUUUUCAGCUAGAGUACGAUAGAGGAAAGCAGAAUUUCUAGUGUAGAGGUGAAAUUCGUAGAUAUUAGAAAGAAUACCAAUUGCGAAGGCAGCUCUCUGGAUCAUUACUGA
RNAcentral lists this ribosomal RNA (670 nucleotides) under alpha proteobacterium IMCC14779. RNAcentral's name for it is "bacterial SSU rRNA". It matches the Rfam family "Bacterial small subunit ribosomal RNA", at positions 28 to 743 of the family's 1533-position model. The record is from RNAcentral. Lineage: Bacteria; Pseudomonadati; Pseudomonadota; Alphaproteobacteria.